Zophobas morio is the source of this 298-nucleotide long non-coding RNA. RefSeq lists it as uncharacterized. The transcript is spliced from 3 exons. Lineage: Eukaryota; Metazoa; Arthropoda; Insecta; Coleoptera; Tenebrionidae. The record is from RefSeq and is a predicted model, not a curated record.
GGCCAGCACACUUUGUUAUUUCUCUUUAUUAUAUAUUUUUUUUCCUAGACUUUUAUAACAUAUAGCAACAUAGCUUUGCUAAGUUAAUUAUACUUAUUAUCUGUACUCUUGGAAUCGUUUAUCACCUUAUUGUAUUACACAACUGAAUUUUUUUAAUCUUUGAUCUCAAGUAGCUGAAAGCACCUUACACCAUCUGUUUUCAGAUCCCCCUGCUACAAUUAUUUCAGAUUGAUCUGAAUUCACUAGCUUUAUUUUAUCUGUUUCAUGUUUAUACUUGUGUACAGGACUUCAUGUUAAA